UACAGAGGGGGCAAGCGUUGUUCGGAAUUACUGGGCGUAAAGCGCGCGUAGGCGGCUUUGCAAGUCGGGUGUGAAAUCCCCAGGCUUAACCUGGGAACUGCAUUCGAGACUGCAUUGCUAGAGUAUGGGAGAGGGAAGUGGAAUUUCUGGUGUAGCAGUGAAAUGCGUAGAUAUCAGAAGGAACAUCAGUGGCGAAGGCGGCUUUCUGGACCAAUACUGACGCUCAGGUGCGAAAGCGUGGGGAGCAAACAGG
This 253-nucleotide ribosomal RNA is filed under the name uncultured bacterium. RNAcentral describes it as "partial 16S ribosomal RNA". It matches the Rfam family "Bacterial small subunit ribosomal RNA", at positions 524 to 776 of the family's 1533-position model. The record is from RNAcentral.